UUUCAGCAGUGAGGAAGGCGGAGUCGUUAAUAGCGGCUCGUUGACGUUUAGCUGCAGAAGAAGCACCGGCUAACUCCGUGCCAGCAGCCGCGGUAAUACGGAGGGUGCGAGCGUUAAUCGGAAUUACUGGGCGUAAAGCGCAUGCAGGUGGUUGUUAAGUUCAGAUGUGAAAGACCCGGGGCGUCAACCUCGGAAUAGCAUUUGAAACUGGCAGACUAGAGUACUGUAGAGGGGGGUAGGAAUUUCAGGUGUAGCGGUGAAAUGCGUAGAGAUCUGAAGGAAUACCGGUGGCGAAGGCGGCCCCCUCGGACAGAUACUGACACUCAGAUGCGAAAGCGUGGGGAGCAAACAGGAUUAGAUACCCUGGUAG
Molecule: ribosomal RNA, 370 nt
Filed under: uncultured bacterium
Lineage: Bacteria
Description: bacterial SSU rRNA
Rfam family: Bacterial small subunit ribosomal RNA
Source: RNAcentral